Molecule: ribosomal RNA, 370 nt
Filed under: uncultured organism
Description: bacterial SSU rRNA
Rfam family: Bacterial small subunit ribosomal RNA
Source: RNAcentral
GAGGGGGGCAAGUGUUGUUCGGAAUCACUGGGCGUAAAGGGAGCGUAGGCGGAUGUUUAAGUCGGGUGUUUAAAACCGGGGCCCAACCCCGGAGCGGCACCCGAAACUGGGCAUCUUGAAUAGGUCAGAGGCUGGUGGAAUUGGAGGUGUAGCGGUGGAAUGCGUAGAGAUCUCCAAGAACACCUAUUGCGAAGGCAGCCAGCUGGGACCAUAUUGACGCUGAGGCUCGAAAGCAUGGGGAGCAAACAGGAUUAGAUACCCUGGUAGUCCAUGCCGUAAACGAUGAACACUAGGUUUUGGGCUCGUCAACGGUCCAGAGCCGCAGCUAACGCGUUAAGUGUUCCGCCUGGGGAAUACGGUCGCAAGACUG